This 459-nucleotide ribosomal RNA is filed under the name uncultured bacterium. RNAcentral's name for it is "partial 16S ribosomal RNA". It matches the Rfam family "Bacterial small subunit ribosomal RNA", at positions 338 to 795 of the family's 1533-position model. The record is from RNAcentral.
CCUACGGGUGGCAGCAGUGAGGAAUAUUGGUCAAUGGCCGGAAGGCUGAACCAGCCAUGCCGCGUGAAGGUCAGUGCCCUAUGGGCGUUAAACUUCUUUUGUGCGGGAGCAAUAAUGGUCACGUGUGGCCAGACGAGAGUACCGUACGAAUAAGCAUCGGCUAACUCCGUGCCAGCAGCCGCGGUAAUACGGGGGAUGCAAGCGUUAUCCGGAUUUAUUGGGUUUAAAGGGUGCGUAGGCGGUUUGAUAAGUUAGAGGUGAAAUGUCGGGGCUCAACCCCGAAACUGCCUCUAAUACUGUUGGACUAGAGAAUAGUUGCGGUAGGCGGAAUGUAUGGUGUAGCGGUGAAAUGCUUAGAGAUCAUACAGAACACCGAUUGCGAAGGCAGCUUACCAAACUAUAUCUGACGUUGAGGCACGAAAGCGUGGGUAGCAAACAGGAUUAGAUACCCUAGUAGUC